GACGAACGCUGGCGGCGUGCCUAAUACAUGCAAGUCGAACGAACCGCGACUAAGUGCUUGCACUAAGUCAAGGUGAGUGGCGAACGGGUGAGUAACUCGUGGGUAACCUACCUCAUAGUGGGGGAUAACAGUCGGAAACGACUGCUAAUACCGCAUAGGACAUAGGAUCACAUGAUCCAGUGAGGAAAGGUGGCGCAAGCUAUCGCUAAGAGAUGGACCCGCGGUGCAUUAGCUAGUUGGUAGGGUAAAGGCCUACCAAGGCGAUGAUGCAUAGCCGACCUGAGAGGGUGAUCGGCCACAUUGGGACUGAGACACGGCCCAAACUCCUACGGGAGGCAGCAGUAGGGAAUCUUCCGCAAUGGACGCAAGUCUGACGGAGCAACGCCGCGUGAGUGAAGAAGGUCUUCGGAUCGUAAAGCUCUGCUGUUAGAGAAGAACAGCGCAUAGAGUAACUGCUAUGCGUGUGACGGUAUCUAACCAGAAAGCCACGGCUAACUACGUG
Molecule: ribosomal RNA, 502 nt
Filed under: uncultured bacterium
Lineage: Bacteria
Description: partial 16S ribosomal RNA
Rfam family: Bacterial small subunit ribosomal RNA
Source: RNAcentral